Molecule: long non-coding RNA, 297 nt
Filed under: Hordeum vulgare
Lineage: Eukaryota; Viridiplantae; Streptophyta; Magnoliopsida; Poales; Poaceae
Description: long non-coding RNA (HVUL_LNC004639)
Source: RNAcentral
CGAAAAGACUAAUCCAAAAUUUGAAUUUUUGAACGAAAAACAAGCAAAAUUUGGACAAAAAAGGCCGAAAAUCUACCAAAAAUGGAAAUCCUGCAGCAAAGCGAACAAAUAAGAAACUUACAGAACCAAUUGAUUGCUUACACGCAUGAUUCGAUCUAGUUGCAGCCAAAUCCAAUGAGGAAUCCGAUAAAUAAUAGAAAACAUACAGUACUUACUACCCAUCAAGCUCCUGAGCUAGUAUACAUGUAUCACGCUGCUCACUCCUAGUCCCGUUCCGGCCGCCAGCAACGCACGGGC